UACGUAGGGUGCAAGCGUUAAUCGGAUUCACUGGGCGUAAAGGGUGCGCAGGCGGCCGAGUGUGUGAGGCGUGAAAGCCCGGGGCUUAACCCCGGAAUUGCACCUCAAACUACACGGCUAGAGCAUUGGAGAGGGUAGCAGAAUUCAUGGUGUAGCAGUGAAAUGCGUAGAUAUCAUGAGGAAUACCAGAGGCGAAGGCGGCUACCUGGACAAUUGCUGACGCUCAGGCACGAAAGCGUGGGGAGCAAAAGGG
Molecule: ribosomal RNA, 253 nt
Filed under: uncultured bacterium
Lineage: Bacteria
Description: partial 16S ribosomal RNA
Rfam family: Bacterial small subunit ribosomal RNA
Source: RNAcentral